Molecule: ribosomal RNA, 591 nt
Filed under: uncultured bacterium
Lineage: Bacteria
Description: partial 16S ribosomal RNA
Rfam family: Bacterial small subunit ribosomal RNA
Source: RNAcentral
UGGGGAAUUUUGGACAAUGGGCGAAAGCCUGAUCCAGCAAUGCCGCGUGUGUGAAGAAGGCCUUCGGGUUGUAAAGCACUUUUGUCCGGAAAGAAAUCCUUGGCUCUAAUACAGUCGGGGGAUGACGGUACCGGAAGAAUAAGCACCGGCUAACUACGUGCCAGCAGCCGCGGUAAUACGUAGGGUGCAAGCGUUAAUCGGAAUUACUGGGCGUAAAGCGUGCGCAGGCGGUUUGCUAAGACCGAUGUGAAAAUCCCCGGGCUCAACCUGGGAACUGCAUUGGUGACUGGCAGGCUAGAGUAUGGCAGAGGGGGGUAGAAUUCCACGUGUAGCAGUGAAAUGCGUAGAGAUGUGGAGGAAUACCGAUGGCGAAGGCAGCCCCCUGGGCCAAUACUGACGCUCAUGCACGAAAAGCGUGGGGGAGCAAAACAGGAUUAGAUACCCUGGUAGUCCACGCCCUAAAACGAUGUCAACUAGUUGUUGGGGAUUCAUUUCCUUAGUAACGUAGCUAACGCGUGAAGUUGACCGCCUGGGGAGUACGGUCGCAAGAUUAAAAACUCAAAUGAAUUGACGGGGUCAUAGCUGUUUCCU